This is a long non-coding RNA of Cavia porcellus (domestic guinea pig), 1045 nucleotides long. RefSeq lists it as uncharacterized. NCBI's taxonomy places the organism in Eukaryota, Metazoa, Chordata, Mammalia, Rodentia, Caviidae. The transcript has 3 exons. The record is from RefSeq and is a predicted model, not a curated record.
AGGAUGGGGGAACAGACUGAGGGGUGGACACAGGAGGGGUGAGCCCCAGGCUCUGCACUUUGCACUAUUUUUAUAGUGCGUGCUGUGGAAUACAGCAGAAGUCCCUGUUCUCGGCCAGUUAGGAUCAGAGGGUAUACCUUGUUCAGUUACACGGAGUCUGCCAGUAUUUUCUUCCAGGCAAUGUUUUAUCAGGAUAAAGCCUCUACUCCUCUACUCCCACACUGAACUUUGCCAUCUCAGCCUGCAGAGAUCACACACCGCACUUCAGAAGGAAAUAACUUCAUUCUCCGUAGGACAGACACAUCACAGUUCACAGAUGGCAAGUUGUGGGAUGUGACCUUCACAGUCCUAAGGGCCAGUUCCUCAUAACAAACUAUUGUGCUGGCUAAUCUUGAUUGUCUUCUUGACUGGAUUAACAGACUCCUGGAGUGUUGGCUGGCUGAUGCCAUGCAGUGAGCAGCCUUCCCCCGUGAAGCCCCCCUGCCAUGAUUCUGCCUGGAACCAGCUGACCGUGGGCUGAGACCUCCGGAACCGUGAGACAAAGAAAAAUCCUCAUCUUUUAAACUGCAGGUGUCAUAUAUUUUGUCCCAGCAAUGAAACACUGAACAAUACACCUCUUUAUCUCUCUAUCUCUAUCAUCUCUAUCUCCCCAUCUCCAUCUCUGUGUCUAUCUCCAUCUUUACGAGCCAUACCUAUAUCUGUCUAUUCUGUCAGCUUUGUUUCUUUGGGAAAUUCUAUCAUGCAGGCGAAAGGAGGAGUGCAGACUUAGCUCAUUUGUUUUUUCCAUACGAAUUUUGGAGUUGAUGCAAUUCAGUCUAUGUGGAAUCCCUUUAACAUGAAUAGAACAGAGCAAAUAUCUGCACACUUAGCCUUUCAAGAAAAGUCUUUGCUGAAAAGACAGCGAUGUAAUUUCAUGACCGAAAGGCUGAAAUUUAGGGGACCAUUUUUGUACUACAAAAGAUUUCUAGCAUUUUGUUAUAUGUGCUGUAUGAUUCUAGAUAAGAUUCAUUUCCUCUUUAGUUUUCUCAUCUGUAAUAAAAUAAUA